This 254-nucleotide ribosomal RNA is filed under the name uncultured bacterium. Its description in RNAcentral is "partial 16S ribosomal RNA". It matches the Rfam family "Archaeal small subunit ribosomal RNA", at positions 474 to 727 of the family's 1478-position model. The record is from RNAcentral.
CCCCAGCGCCACAAGUGGUUAUCACGAUUAUUGGGCCUAAAGCGUUCGUAGCCGGUUUGGUGCAUCUCUUGUGAAAUUGUUCGGCUUAACCGGACAGCGUGCAGGAGACACGGCCAAACUCGAGACCGGGAGGGGUUAGAAGUAUUCCAUGGGGACUGGUAAAAUGGGAUAAUCCAUGGAAGACUACCGAUGGCGAAGGCAUCUAACCAGAACGGAUCUGACGGUGAGGAACGAAAGCCAGGGGAGCGAACCGG